Syngnathus typhle (broad-nosed pipefish) is the source of this 5982-nucleotide RNA transcript. It is a transcript of the gene named fatty acid amide hydrolase, with no coding region annotated. The transcript is spliced from 20 exons. The record is from RefSeq and is a predicted model, not a curated record. NCBI's taxonomy places the organism in Eukaryota, Metazoa, Chordata, Actinopteri, Syngnathiformes, Syngnathidae.
GAAUAGUCCAAACGGAUAACUGCGCAUGCGUAGGUAGGAAUCUCUAGUGUUCUUUCGCUAAUGAUUUGCUCAUGAACACUCCAAACCUUAAAUACUAGACGAGCUUGCGCCAAGUCAAAGUGACACAGACCGUUUACAGGUCAAUUGUUUUAGCUAGCGAGUAUGGACAAUGUCAAACAGUUUUUCUCGGGGCUGGAAAUGGACACCUGGUCAUCAGCCGCCCUCUUAGCUGGGGCUGCUGCUGGCUUAGCGGGGGCUCUUGUGUCGCUUGCCCGGGCGGUCGACGGCCACCUGGACGCCAGGAGGAAGAUCCAGAAAGCCAGGAAACUGAGAGAUGAUAGCUUGCUAAAAGCCGAAGAGGCUGUGUUACUAUACAAGAAAGCGCAUCCAAAGAUGGAUUCAUCUCUCAUUUUGUCUUUGUCCUUGACUGAGCUGACAAAAAAACUACAGGAUGGCCAGCUGGUACCUGAAGAUGUGUUUUACUCCUACAUGGAAAAGACUAUCAAUGAAAACAAAAGGUUGAACUGUUGCACCACCAUCCUGCUGGAAAGUUUUGACCAUCUAAAAACUCUGGACUCCAACAAACGAGGGCUCCUGUAUGGCGUUCCGGUCAGCAUCAAGGAUAACAUUGCCUACAAGUACUACGAUUCCUCCUGCGGUCUGGUUUCUAACCUCGACGAUCCGGCCGAGAAGGACUCGGUUAUUGUGGAAGUCUUGAGGAGACAAGGCGCCAUUCCCUUUGUGAAAACAAAUGUCCCCCAAGGCAUGUUGAGCUUUGACUGCAGUAACGUCAUCUUCGGGCAGACUGUGAACCCCCACAACCUCAACAAGACCAGCGGCGGUUCUUCCGGCGGUGAGGGGGCUCUCAUUGGGGGCGGCGGCUCCAUCCUCGGCAUAGGCAACGAUAUUGGCGGCAGCAUUCGUAUCCCCGCUGCCUUCUGCGGGAUCUGUGGCUUCAAGCCAACAGUGGGCCGAGUCAGCAAACAAGGUGUUAGCACUGUUAGUCCGGGACAAAAGUCAGUGUUGGCAACUUCUGGGCCAAUGGCAAAGGAUGUGGACGGCUUGGCUCUGUGUAUGCAGGCGCUGCUCUGCGACCACAUGUUUGACCUGGACCCAACUAUCCCGCCCCUGCCUUUUAAUAUGCAGGUGUAUAAGAGCGCCAAGCCUCUGAGGAUCGGCUACGUGGAAAACGACGGCAUCACGCAACUGACACCGAGCAUGGCCCGAAGCCUCAGAGAAGUCAGAGAUUUGUUGGAGGAGGCGGGCCAUACGGUGGUGCCAUACAAUCAUCUGAGGAUUAAGGAUGCAUUUUUGCUCAUAGCCAAUGGCAUCUUUGGAGAUGGAGGCGCCUCUCUGGUACAAAAACUGAAGGGGGGACCUUUUGAUCCUUGUCUCAAACUUCAAGUGCUUCCUCUCUAUCUUCCUCGGUGGCUGAGGAAGAUCCUCUCGUUCCUGAUCAGACCUCUGUCUCCUCGCGGUUCUCUCCUCCUGCAAUGCUCCACUGGAGCCGGGUCUGUUGUGGAGCUGUGGGAGCAACAUGUGGCUGUGCAGGACUACAUAGAUGAGACCCUGGCCGAAUGGAGACGAUGCAACAUCGACGUGCUGCUCUGCCCAAUGUUAGGACCUGCUUACAACUUCUUGUACUGCGGCAGGCUUACGCUUAAUGCGUCUUUCACGGCUCUCUACAAUCUGCUCAAUUUUCCUGCUGGCGUCGUUCCUGUUUCCACGGUGACAGCAGAGGAUGAGGAGGAAUUGCGCCAUUAUGAAGGCUUCCAUCGGGACCACUGGGACAAGCUUUUCAAACAGGCAUUGUCAGGUAGCCAAGGUAUGCCCAUGGCCGUGCAGUGUGUGGCCCCGCCGUGGCAGGACGAGCUGUGUCUGCGCUUCAUGAAGGAGGUGGAAGACCUCGUUAAGCAGAGUAGGAUCAAGUGAGGCCUCAGCUCUCGCCAAGCCAUUAGGUACGGCGCCGACGUUUUCCAUUACAAUCGGGCUCAUGAGACGAGCCGCAAUCGAGAGGUUGUUCGCGGCUCUUAUCGGAGGCGCGUGGAGAGAGAGAGAGUGGCUCUCGCUGUGCCACUCAGUCAGGGAGCGUUAAGCUUUAAGAGGCACUCGAGAGACUCGCCGGGCCCACGGGGAACUUGACAUUGUUCAUAAAUCCUGCAGGAACUGAAGAGGGACCGAGAAACCCAUUGUCAUUAUGGCCAUCGCGGCAAUAUGCGACACAGUGGGAGGGGGGCUUCAUGUCUUUUGGACCCCCAACCUGGUUCCACGGGAAGCAAUAGUGUGUGAUGGGAGGAGCCAGGUGGAGAUUACAAGAGAGCUGAUACAGACAGGUAUCGGACACGCUGAUGCUUUCGCAGCUCCAGAACAUCCUGGCAAGAUCUCGCUCGUUUCUGUGAAGGCUUUCUUCCCGAGUUUAUCCCGACGUGUUCCUGCGGAGGCAACCCGAGGCCGCUCUCCCGAACGCCUCUUGCAGACGUUGACAUAUCGAGGUUGGCAGCCUUCUUAGAAAAGCCUUGGCUGACCUCCAAAGAAGAACCGCAGCCGCCAGUAGGCCCACGGAGCUAGCAGUCGCCGCCUGACUGGCAGAUGCCGUUUGAGGAGGAGGCAGAGGAGGUCCGCUUUUGAAUCGUCACUCGGAUUUUCACAUAUACAGCGAAGGAGCCGCUCGAGUCCCGGCCAGGAGCUCUUUUUCCAACGUCGUUCUUUUUUCUUUGCGAAGGCAGAUGCCGAGCAAACAAGCGCGCGGCUCCGGAUGGAGCUUUGCACCAGACUUUGAUACGUCUCUAAUCUCCACUAAACUGUCCCCACUGGUUUUAACGCCCGUACGCAUUAGCCUAUGUCUUAAAACUUAAGAGUUUAUCGUUAGCCGCUAAAUUUAGACGCCUUGAUUUAAGACUCGGAAUGCGUGUGCAUAUAUAUACAGCGUGCAAAAUUACAAACCUUCCCGAGUGUAACAAAGGAUGUGAACUGUGCUUUUGUUUUGAAAUCAAAUUACUCAUUGGCUGCCUUGAGGGAUGAUAACUUGGGAGACACUUUGCUGUUAAAAGGAGGUCAACCAUGCAUCUUAUUUUCUAUUGUUUGUUUUUGCCUUUAUUUUUUGCUUAUUAUUUUUUACAUAUUAUUUUGCUCAUUUUUUACUUAUGAUUUUACUUCUUUUUUACUUGUACUUAUUAUUUACAAGCCAUGUUUUUGUCUUAGUUUGUUUUUGCCCUUAUUUUCGCUCAUUAUUUUUUACUUGUACUUAUUGUUUACAAGCUAUGUUUUGGUCUUUGUUUGUUUUUACCCUUAUUUUUGCUCAUUAUUUUGACUUUUUAUAUUUUACUUUUACUUAUUAUUGACCAUCAUUUUUACAUCACACACUUCUGCCAUUUUGUAACCUUGCUGUCACCUGUGCUUUAUUUUUAGUACGCCAUCUCCUCUCCAGCCAAGUCCCCCCUUGGAGAGUCCCCCUCUUCGUCUUUAUUCCGCAGCAACCCGCCUGUCAAAAAAAAAAAAAACGUCCCCGAUGGGCUCGGCCGGUAAAUUCCCCAACUUAAAACCCAUUAGCGAGCUAUCAGCCCGGCCAUAAUGCAGUCUAACCACCUCAUUUACCUAAGUGUCAAGUGCUGUCAAGAACCACGGGCCUAGAGACGGACCUCAAGUGGGUCUGCUUGGAGGUAUCGCACACACACACACACACACACAGUCCUCAUCAAAACCAGCAAAGGACGCUCGCAUGUCACGCUGGGGGUGAGAGACUUUUGGAAUGAACAUGGCAAGUAUUUCAUUUACCAUAUCCACUCUAUUAGCGGGAGCCAAGCAGUCAAUUGAGGGUGGGGGGGACAUUUUGAUAGGUAAGUGAGCUGAGGGGCUUGGGGAGGGGGGGUCAUGGAGAAGUGGCGGUCACAGCGUGGCUAUUCCAGCUCACCCCAAAUAAAUACAAACUUGGCAUAUAAAAAAUAUAUGCCUGUGAUUAUUUGAUCUGUGAUCUAACCUUGGUCUGCUCUUCACGAUUUUAAUGCUUACUGCAGAAACAGCACUAAAAUCCUAAGAAAAAAAAUUGGCAAUUUUAAUUUCCAAAAUUGAUAAUGACAUUUACUUGCCUACACACUGUGAGUGCGCACGUGUCCACUGCCUGUCCUCGGAUCUGCCGGCAUACCUUUCUGUGAAAAUGAUAUGGUAAAUAUGGAAAAGGGCCCCAAGGGCUCAAAAGGCCCGGCCCCCUCUUUAGCAGUGGAUAAUUGACUCCUUUUUCCUGCUUGAUAAUUCAUUGCUUGCAUAUGCCAGCUAAUACAUCAGAUGAAAAGAGCCCGGGCCCUCAUCUCCCUUGACACACACACACACACACACAACUACAGCGCUAUGCAUUAAAUGACAAAUGGGGCCACUUCUAGAUCCAUGAAUGAAUUAUGUCUUCUAAAUACCUUGAGCAGAGGCAACUGUCACUCUGCUAAUCUGGGACAAAAUAUGACCAGCUCGGCGUUACAAAGGCCUGCUAGAGAAUGAGGCGAGAAAUGAACGCACAUUAACACCAAACGUCUGAUUCAGCGUCCCUGGGCAUUUGCACAUUUAUCAAGAGAUGGAUAUACACCCCCCUCUUGGUUUCUUCACUUGCGGUCGUCUCCGUCUGUCAUUUUUAAUGCGGACCCUGGUGUUGAAAUAGAUGAGGAUUAUUCCAGCAGGACAGAGAUAUCAUUUGUUCUACAACAGCCGAGUCAGCACUCACAACAGUCAUUAGGGAAUUAGAAAGCAAAGGCCCCUUUUCAAAAGUGUCAAAUAAUGAAUAAGACAAGAUGGUAAAUGCUUGCUCGCCGGAAACGUGGGCGAUGAGGCGGAAAGGCAAACAAUCACCAGGUUUCGUUAGUAGCAGGGCAGUCCAAAAAUGUUUGACCGCAAAGAUAAACGCUUGAAGUCAUUCACCUGAUUUUUUUCACCCAUGGCGGUCAAAUGCAUGUUGGCCUUGCAAUUGUUCUCCGUUGGGAUAUUUUGCCAAUGAAAAUGUUUUACCGGCAGGUAUUGCAUUUUGUUAUGCAGCUAAUUCAGUGCUGAAGGGCAAAAUUGAAAUUCCCUUGAAAAAAGUGCCAGAGGCCCAAGAACUAAAUAAACAUAAGACAGCCAUGAGGCCGUGAUGCAUUCAAGGCCUCCUCAAUCUCAAUUUAUAGACCCUCUGGUUUAUUCAACCACAAGGUAAAAAAGUAAAUUAAUCUCAAUUUCCACCAAUUGUUUUUUUAUACCCAGCACAAUGGCUUAAAUUCAGUCAACUGCCCAAACUGGCGAUCAACCCAUUCUGAUGGGUCCAAAUAUUUAAUCCAAUCUGCUCAAAAUUUCUGUGUGUCUGUACUCAAAUAUUGCUCACAAAGAUGUCUUAAUUUUGUUUUAAUAAGUCUAUCUUCUUUGCCAAAAUAAUCCAUUUGCUUUAAAGGUGUAGCGUCAGGAUCGUGAUUACACAGCAGAUCAUUGCCCAAAGUCAGCUGGGAUCGACGACAACGCAACUAUCAAGAAUGCAUGGCUGAAGGCUAAAGGAUCGUUCCAUCUCGUCACCAAGAGCAGCGGGCCAAAUUGGCGCAUCACUACUGUCCGAAUGACAACACUGCCCUCUACUGGCAAAGAUAGAUAUUGCAUUAGCACUAGGUGGCAGCAUUUGGAAUUUCUCGAACCUGUCCUUUAACCAAGACGCCGGUAUUAACAGAAGAAAGCUUUAUGAAAAAAGACGUUACAACUUCUUUCGUCACAGUCUGAAGAUUUAAAAAAAAAAAAAAAAACAGAGCCCACAUGCAUUUAGUAGUGUUGGCUCGUGAGUUUAAAAAAAACGAAUCUUUUCAGUGAACGAGUGAACGAAUAUUCAUUCUUUUUUCAGUUCAUAUGACUUCAACCAGUAGGUGUCGGUAAUGCACAUUGAAGCUGGUUGUUUGUUGUUGUUUGUUCUGCUAUAGCCUAGGUGACUGAUUCACAAUUUGGUUUUGUCUGAUAUCAGAUAUUAAAUAAAGAAAGCCAACUGGC